RNAcentral lists this long non-coding RNA (1106 nucleotides) under Ananas comosus (pineapple). RNAcentral's name for it is "long non-coding RNA (ACOM_LNC017399)". The record is from RNAcentral. Lineage: Eukaryota; Viridiplantae; Streptophyta; Magnoliopsida; Poales; Bromeliaceae.
GCUAUGUAAGAUAGUUAUUAUCACUACAAUAAAAUUGGGUUAUUGGGACACAUGUUUGAAAUAUUUUUAUGUAAGUGUCUCAUUUAUGCCAAAAUUUAAAAGAAAAUCUACUAAUACCUAAAUAUAAAGCCUAAUCCAACCAAAAAUAAAAAGUUAUUCUACUCAACCCACCUCAUCCAGCCCAUUUGGCCCGAUUACAAAUAGAAAAGAAAAUUACAAACAGAAAAAAAAAAAGAAAAAUCAAUUACCAUCUCCUCUUACUCAAUCCACUAAAAUUCUAGACGAAGAGCUCUUCCCUCUCGUCAUCCUCCGCCACCGCAGCCAACGAGAUAGAGUUUCGGCAGUAGCUAAAUGUUUAAAUAAAUGUUGGUAAAUUAGCAACACUGUUUUUAGGCUAUAGCGACACUCUUUAACUGUCACUGUAUACCUAGCGACCCCAUAUAUAGCAACACUUUUCAAAAGUGUCCGUAAUUUAACCAGCAACACUUUUUUUGACUUGUACCUACAUUUAAAAGUGCCGCUAUAGACCGUUUUUGUUGUAGUGUAUCUGAUCUAUCAGGAUGUGGCGUUUUAUAUAACGACCCAGCCCACUAGCAACAAUAACUCAUUGAGCCCAACCACCGGCCCAAAAUGCUUAAGACCAGUUAUUAUUCUAAGUCUCUUAUAAACCAAAUGAUAACCACCAUUCUCAUCCGAUGUGCACCCCCUCGUUAAAGCCCUGACGUCCUCGUCAGUCCCUCGUUAAAGCCUCAUCAGUCCGUGGGAGGGUGUCACAAACUCCCCUCGUUAAAGCCCUGACGUCGUCAGUCCAAUAACACACAGCCCAAAAUCACCAGGCGAUGUGAGACUCGUCUCUCUAGCCAGUCAUCCAGAUCCUGGCUCAGCCGAGACUCGCCACACAUGUCCAACUGGUGAACCAGCUCUGAUACCAAAUGUAACAACCCAGCCCACUAGCAACAAUAACUCGUUGGGCCCAACCAUCGGCCCAAAAAAAUGCUUAAGUCCAGUUAUUAUUACUAGUAUCUGAGUCUCUUAUAAACCUAAUGACAAUUCCAUUCUCAUCCGAUGUGGGACUAUUAGGGUAUCACAUUUUAUGGCCAUACUAA